Molecule: long non-coding RNA, 2540 nt
Organism: Felis catus (domestic cat)
Lineage: Eukaryota; Metazoa; Chordata; Mammalia; Carnivora; Felidae
Exons: 3
Source: RefSeq, a predicted model, not a curated record
GCACAGAGCCCGACGCCGGGCUCAAACCCAUGAACCACAGGAUCAUGACCUGAGCUGAAGUGGGACGCUUAACCAACUGAGCCAUCCAGGCACCCCUGCACGGUGUAUUUCAAAGGGAUCAAAUAUUAAAUCUAGUAUCUCGUGAUCUUAGUCAAACCCUCAUCUUCACACAUGUCCAGAACAUAAGCAUGUGUUUGUAAACAAGUAGUUAUUUCCAUUUUCUCAGACAUGAGUAACAAUUUGAUCUUCCCAGGACGACAAGCAGAGACUCCUGUGAUCAGUAACAAGACUGUCAAAGGAUUCCUAUUCCUCCAGCCAGCCCUUCUUUGAAUUUGGCCUCAGCUGUAGCACGAACGUUCACCCUAACUCCAUCUGUGAGGUCAGGUGUACAGUGGCCAUCUCUGAUCCGUUCAUAAGAAGCAGACAACUGGGAACUGGGAGUGUGGGGACUGAAGGGGUGGGGUCAUUGGGCAAUGAAAUCCUAGAUGAUACUCCCUUCCUGCAGGGUGAAAUAGGAAUAUAUAGGUAUGGCCUCUCAGACCUCAGAAGAGCACCUCAGAUGGAAUCCAUGUAGAACUGCCAGUGAUAGGCGUGGCCCAAGAUUAUAACAAUUUGUUUGUUUGUGUAUGUAGGGCUAUGGGGGUGUGGGUGAUGCCCAAAUAAAUCAGCUUACUAGGAAGUGUGAGAUAAGAAAAGGUAAAUGGCUUGGAGGGGAAGCUUUAAAGGAAUAACUUUCUGAAAGUAAAAAGUGAAAUCUUUCACUUCAGGUGAACACCAGCAUUUUUGAAUGUAAGUUUUUGUCUUAGGUUCCCUCGUCCUUUUCUUAAUGGCUAUGGAUGAUCUGGAAACAUGUGGGAGACUGUGGUUUCGUGAUGGUAUUCUCUGACACACGGAGUAGCUUCCUAGAAAUGGUGUGACUUACAGCUAUCUACCAUUCCCUAACUGCCUUUAGCUUUUGUUGACCUAUCACUGGGACUAAAGUGACAUCUGGGCUUUUUUGUAUUCACUUAUUGGGCUGUACCCAUAGUAUUAGUCAAACAGCACAUUUUGUGACAUGACCUCCUGUCUAGGGUUAAAUGCUCAGCACAAUGUCUAGCUAAUAAAGAAUGAAUUAAAAAGAUUAUUAAUGCAAUAGUCAUUUUAGGGUAGUAUUCAGCAAAAAUAUCUAAACUUAAUCAGAAUCACUGAGACCAAAUUAGAAGGAACCUUAGAGACUUUCAUUAUAAAAAAGAAAUCAGGUCCAAAAGAGAAAAAUGGAGUACACCCAAAAUUCUAGAACUCUUUCCAUUGUGUUCUUAGACUUUAGAACUCCAUCUUCUCUUAUUUUACAGCUUUAUUGUGACAAAAUUUUUUAAGAAGUACCUUCCCAGGUGUAAUACAGACGCAGUGAGAUACCAAAGAUGUGACAGAAUUGUGUAAGAAUGAAUUAAAGAGCUUGUCCAUCAGCCAACACUAGACCCAAUCAACGAGUCACAUCAGAAAAUGGGUUUAUGAGUACUAUUGCAAAGAAAGAGACAUAUCCCUGAGGCCAAACACAGGCAAAAGUAAAUGUGAUUGGCAGCAAGACCUCAUCUGCUUUCCCGAUAAGUGAAUGGUCACAAUGUCUACAACAGUCACUUCAAGAUUCUAGAAAAGAAAAAGAAGAUAAAAUGAUCAAUUCAGCAGCACAGAAUCGUUAAUAGUCUUUUAAUUAUCAGGUGAUUGAAUACAAAGUGCUCCUUCGCAAGAAAACCUCCUUUUGGACUGCUGCCAUUUAACAAAGAGGACAAGAUUUGCAGUUAACUGUCCACUAUGGAAGACACCAGCUACAUGCAGUGUUUUAAAUUUAAAUUAUUAGAAAUUAGAUAAAAUUUACAAUUCAGUGCCACGGUCACACUAGCCACAUUUCGACAGCCCCACAGCCACAUGUGGCUUGUGGCACCAAUACCAGACAGGACAAAUAAAGAGUAUUUCCAUUACUGCAGAAAGAUCUAUUGAAAGCAAAGAGUUAAUCUUCAUUUGCAUAUUUUGCUCUACUCAUUCCUUUACUCCAUGCCCAUUCAUUGAAUCAGUAACUAAUAAAGUGGUUAAAGUGCUUUUUGUCUAUUGAAGAAAAGGCGAUGUGGACUAUGUAUUAAAUUAUAGUUUCCUGAAUAUAUACAUGAUUUAUAAUUUCAGUGAAUUAAAAGGCACUCCUUUACUUAUUCCUGGGGCUCCAAGGUUUGGCUUUUCACUGUCCUGCUGUCCUGAAGGGGUAGAAGGCUCACUUAUGGAAGGGUAUUCUACUCCUAAAGGGCUCAGGACUGCUCUAAAACCCUAGUGGCACAACCCUAAGAAGGUGGCAAAAGUGAAGUUUAGGAAAGGAAAGCUUGCUAAAUGGAACAGACUGAAGCUAUUCUUCUGGUGGCGUGAAUUACAUUUCUCCAUUAAUUAAAAUAUGUUUUCCCCCCAGAAUAAGCAGUAAAAGAGCAACAACAAAAAACCUCACCUGCAUGUAGAAAGAGGAGCAAACUGAACACCCUUCUCUUUGCAUUCCCUUGUUAUUCGUUCUUUUACAUUUC